UGGUGUUGGAUGAUGGAGUCGAACCACCCGAGACCCUUUCGAGUCGGCAGAUUUACAGUCUGCUUCGCUACCUCUACGAUACUAAUCCAAC
RNAcentral lists this transfer RNA (91 nucleotides) under Salmonella phage Stitch. Its description in RNAcentral is "tRNA-Tyr". The record is from RNAcentral. Lineage: Duplodnaviria; Heunggongvirae; Uroviricota; Caudoviricetes; Demerecviridae.